CCAUAGAACAUUUUUCUCUCUAACUUGUCUCUUUUCUCUACUUAACAUAUAAGUAAUUGAUGACAAUGAAAAUGAAAACCCACUAAGAGAAGAGAGAACAGAGAAAAUUCAAUGCACAAACUUGAGAGUCCAUAGAUCAACAACACACAUGUCAAUGGCAGAGCAGCUCAACGUUGAUUGCAUGGCUUGCAUGCGAGUGUCAAUCGAUUCUUGUUCUUGCUGAUGGAACAAGAUCACACACAGACAAAUCAGGGAGUAAAAAAAAAGUCAGCCAUGGAAGCUAAAGAAAUUUAGGAGACUUUUCCAUUCUCUGAGUUUCGGUGGAAUUUAUCUAAUUUGGUCAUUAUGCUGAGGAAUAGAUAUAGAGCAGUGACGACCAAGCAAGCUCUAAUGGCAGACCAGAGCUCUCUAGCUUCUCUCUCCCCAAAUCACACUAUACCCAUUUCUUCUUUCUUUGGUUCUCCAAGGUUUUUCAAUGGGUUUCAAGCAAUGGGUCACUCUGAAACUGAAACAAUGAGUCCUAUUCCUAGUUCAAUUCAUGACAUCAAACCAUUCUCCCCUGUUGGCAACCAAUUCCCCCAACAAUUUCUUAGGAAACAAACACUCCUGGGAAAAAUUAAACCUGAAAGGCAUUGGUCUUUCAUAGUACUUGUAUGUAUAAUUAGUUUGAAUUACAUCUUUUCUGCCGAUUUGUUUUGUAAUAACUUUCAACUUACCAUUAGGCGCUGGUUUAAUUUUAUUUCAUCUUGGAUUUGAAAUA
Molecule: non-coding RNA, 760 nt
Organism: Camellia sinensis
Lineage: Eukaryota; Viridiplantae; Streptophyta; Magnoliopsida; Ericales; Theaceae
Source: RefSeq, a predicted model, not a curated record